AUGAACUGGCCUAUUGGGCUUCCUUCAAAGCAGCUCGGGCCUCUCGGACUCUCUGAUGAUAUGUGGGCCGGCUCAUACCCGAUCGAGCGGCAGCAAUACAGUAGGGUCGGGUCGGGUCGAUCCAACCGGCCUUGGUUGGUCCCUGGAGCAAUGGCCGGCGGCGGUUCUUCUUCUUCUUCUUCCACGGCGGGAGAGGAGGGGAGGGCGAGCGCGCGGCUGCGGAAGAAGCAGAAACUGCAUCAACAGGAGGAGGAAGAGAAGGGGGCGAACCCUCUGGACCCAAGGUUCAGCGACUACGACCCCAAGGAGGGCGAACACAUCUUCACCCGCUUCCAACACUCCAGCCUCGACCUCCACAUGGAAUCACCUGUUGGUGCAAUGCACAAUACUAAUAGGAUCUUCCCAGAGGAGGGGUUCCUGUUCUGUAACUCGGCAAAUAUUGUCUCGGUCAAUAUCGUUUCCUCCGACUAUGGAUACCCGCUCAAUGUCUACGGCACCAUCAUAGCCAGGGACAGUCUGGAUCGCCAACGCGUCUAUUUAUUCCAGCGUGGCAAGGACGAUUGCCAGAACAUCAGCUCCAAGAAUGAUGCGUUGGUUUUGACUGGCCCGAAGAGAGGACUGAUGAUAUGUGAUUCAAUAAUCUUCGAAGUUGAUCUGAAGGUCAAGGAUGUGAAUGGCAGAAAGGUGAAUGACAAGAGAGUUAGCAAAGGCUUAAUGGAGAUUAAUGGCAUCAAAAGACUCUCAUAUCCACCGAAAUACCAGGUUCAAACCGAAGAGCUUGUCAGCAUGCACAGCACAUUGGAUUUGAACUACACGUUUGUAAGGAAUGCGGUGGAGGGCACCGUUGAGGCGAGGAUCCUCGAGGGACCUGUUGAUUUCCAUGGGAAAAUCGUCGCUCGCACUAGUAGCUUUCCAUGUGACAUUAUGCUACAUGAUAGCGAACUUGCUGGGAUGCUAACAGCCGGUGACGGUGGAAUCCUGCAAACAGCACGCCGUGUCGUCAGCGUCUCCGUUGAUGAGACACUCCUGUUGACCAUUGCUGCUGCUACCAGUGGUGUCCGCACCGUUGAGUUUACUCCAAAACGUGGCAGCUACGAUGAAGAGAAAAUCACUUGUGGCGACUAUAAGAUGCUGGUGAAGGUCACUUGGUCCAUUGUGUGCUGGUGA
Molecule: ribosomal RNA, 1167 nt
Filed under: Triticum aestivum (bread wheat)
Lineage: Eukaryota; Viridiplantae; Streptophyta; Magnoliopsida; Poales; Poaceae
Description: partial small subunit ribosomal RNA
Source: RNAcentral